UGUGUCCAACAUUUGCUGUUCUCUCCUCUCUCCUUUCAUCUCUUUUGGUUUAUCGCCUUUGUCAGAAAACAGCUAAAGAACCUCAGAUUGAUGAGCAAACAGUUGACACUAGAGGUCAAAUAAGACUGAAUCAGGGUGAAGAUGUGUGUUAUGCUGCGCUGGAAAUCCGUCAGACAUUGCAGAGACCAAAGAAGAAGAAAACUGCAAGUUCUGACUUCAGCACUUAUUCUGCCAUCAAUACUUCUAGAGUGUAAAGAGUCACAAGAAGUUGUAUAAUGAAUUAAUUAGUGAUGAUACAUAGAGACUAUUCUGU
Molecule: long non-coding RNA, 313 nt
Organism: Thunnus maccoyii (southern bluefin tuna)
Lineage: Eukaryota; Metazoa; Chordata; Actinopteri; Scombriformes; Scombridae
Exons: 3
Source: RefSeq, a predicted model, not a curated record